AACGAACGCUGGCGGCAUGCCUAACACAUGCAAGUCGAACGAGACCUUCGGGUCUAGUGGCGCACGGGUGCGUAACGCGUGGGAACCUGCCCUUAGGUUCGGAAUAACUCCCCGAAAGGGGUGCUAAUACCGGAUAAUGUCUUCGGACCAAAGAUUUAUCGCCUUUGGAUGGGCCCGCGUUGGAUUAGCUAGUUGGUAGCGUAAAAGCCUACCAAGGCGACGAUCCAUAGCUGGUCUGAGAGGAUGAUCAGCCACACUGGGACUGAGACACGGCCCAGACUCCUACGGGAGACAGCAGUGGGGAAUAUUGGACAAUGGGCGAAAGCCUGAUCCAGCAAUGCCGCGUGAGUGAUGAAGGCCUUAGGGUUGUAAAGCUCUUUUACCCGGGAUGAUAAUGACAGUACCGGGAGAAUAAGCCCCGGCUAACUCCGUG
This 433-nucleotide ribosomal RNA is filed under the name uncultured bacterium. Its description in RNAcentral is "partial 16S ribosomal RNA". It matches the Rfam family "Bacterial small subunit ribosomal RNA", at positions 29 to 507 of the family's 1533-position model. The record is from RNAcentral.